UAAAACUAAAGCAUUGUUUGGUUUGCUGUCUCUUGUUUUUAGCAUUCAGAUAAUGUAUGUUCUUUGCUUUAUCCUAGCCUGCCAUCUUCAAGUCAAUGCGAGGGAACUUCUUUAGUGUCAGGGGAGCCAUGUAAGGCAUCAUUAUCAACCUGGCUGGUGGAUAUUGUUGAUGAAUCUGUGAAAGCUGGUAUACACCGCCGAGUUGUCUGACAAAGCACCAAUUAGAAGAUUCCUGCAACCAAAG
This is a long non-coding RNA of Triticum dicoccoides, 244 nucleotides long. RefSeq lists it as uncharacterized. Lineage: Eukaryota; Viridiplantae; Streptophyta; Magnoliopsida; Poales; Poaceae. The transcript is spliced from 3 exons. The record is from RefSeq and is a predicted model, not a curated record.